This 1825-nucleotide unclassified non-coding RNA is filed under the name Schistocerca americana (American grasshopper). RNAcentral's name for it is "cryptochrome-1-like, transcript variant X7". Lineage: Eukaryota; Metazoa; Arthropoda; Insecta; Orthoptera; Acrididae. The record is from RNAcentral.
CUGACUUCGCCCGCCACUGGGCGCCCACCGCGUACGUUUCAAGAAGUGUUCAACGUUUGGCAGCGAGCAGCUGUGUCCCUGACCCGCGUCACUACUUUUGUUAGAGCAAACGCAGCGUCGACAACUGCCCGCCGUUCGUGAAGAAUGCCAAGAUGAGCUUCGCUUCGCAUCCAGUGAAUCAGUGUCCGGGAUAAAUCAACUAUGUGUGCGAAAACCACUCAGGAACACACUGUGCAUUGGUUCAGAAGGGGACUUCGUCUACAUGACAACCCUAGUCUGCGUGCGGGACUCAUAGGUGCGACGACAUUUCGGUGUAUUUUCAUCCUGGACCCUUGGUUCGCGGGUUCAUCUAAUGUCGGCAUUAACAAGUGGAGGUUUCUUCUCCAGUGUCUUGAAGACCUCGAUUCUAGCUUGCGGAAGCUCAAUUCUCGACUGUUCGUCAUUAGAGGGCAGCCAGCUGAUGCCCUUCCAAAAUUGUUUAAGCAGGAAUGGGGGACAACAAACUUGACCUUUGAGGAAGAUCCUGAACCAUUUGGAAAAGUGCGUGAUCAGAACAUAAUGGCAAUGUGUAGAGAAAUGGGAAUCUCAGUAAUUUCCAUAGCUUCACACACACUGUACAGUCUUGAUACGAUCAUUGAAAAAAAUGGAGGGAAAGCACCUUUAACUUACCACCAGUUUCAAAAUAUAGUGGCUUCCAUGGACUCACCACCUCCAGCUGAACCCAGUAUCACACCAGCAUGUGUGAAAGAUAAAUUUACCCCUAUUUCUGAUGACCAUGAUGAACGAUUUGGUGUUCCUACCUUAGAGGAAUUAGGUUUUGAUACUGAUGGCUUGAUGCCUCCUGUGUGGCAGGGAGGAGAAUCUGAGGCACUUGCGAGGCUGGAAAGGCACCUCGAAAGAAAGGCAUGGGUGGCAUCCUUUGGAAGACCUAGAAUGACAUCACAGUCAUUGCUUGCCAGUCAGACAGGUCUCAGUCCGUAUUUAAGAUUUGGCUGUUUGUCUACGAGGCUUUUCUAUUACCAGCUUACUGAUCUUUACAAAAAGAUAAAAAAGGCAUGCCCGCCUCUUUCUUUACAUGGACAGCUGUUAUGGCGGGAAUUUUUUUACUGUGCAGCAACAAAAAAUCCAUAUUUUGAUAAAAUGUAUGGAAACCCAAUAUGUGUACAAAUUCCAUGGGACAGGAAUCCAGAAGCACUUGCCAAGUGGGCCACAGGCCAAACAGGUUAUCCGUGGAUUGAUGCUAUAAUGAUCCAGUUGCGUGAAGAAGGUUGGAUACAUUAUUUAGCUAGGCAUGCUGUGGCGUGUUUCCUUACACGAGGAGAUUUGUGGAUUUCAUGGGAAGAAGGCAUGAAGGUGUUUGAUGAACUACUGCUUGAUGCUGACUGGUCUGUUAAUGCUGGAAUGUGGAUGUGGCUGUCUUGCUCAUCCUUCUUUCAGCAGUUCUUCCAUUGUUAUUGUCCUGUCCGGUUUGGUCGCAAGGCAGAUCCAAAUGGGGACUUCAUAAGGAAGUACCUGCCCAUUUUGAAGAACUUUCCAACACGGUAUAUCCAUGAACCUUGGAAAGCCCCUGAAUCAGUACAGAUAACAGCGAAGUGCAUCAUUGGGAAGGAGUUUCCUUUGCCUGUAGUGGACCACCAAUACGCAAGUCGAAUAAACAUAGAACGAAUGAAGCAAGUGUAUCAACAGUUAAGCAAAUAUCGAGGUCCAGCAAAAUUUUCAUGGCAGCAGAUCAACCACUGUUUUAAAUGAAAUUUUUCAACAAUUUUGCAGGCAAGGAAGAUAUUACUUCAAGCGCGUGUAAGGUUUUAGGUCUUUUGGCAACAGU